This 67-nucleotide transfer RNA is filed under the name Marmota monax (woodchuck). Its description in RNAcentral is "tRNA.Ala". It matches the Rfam family "tRNA". From Rfam's summary of the family: Transfer RNA (tRNA) molecules are approximately 80 nucleotides in length. Their secondary structure includes four short double-helical elements and three loops (D, anti-codon, and T loops). The record is from RNAcentral. Lineage: Eukaryota; Metazoa; Chordata; Mammalia; Rodentia; Sciuridae.
GGUUGUGGCUCAGAGGUAGAGCGCUUGCCUGGCAUGCAUGAGACUCUGGGUUCGAUCCUCAGCACCA